This 220-nucleotide long non-coding RNA is filed under the name Amborella trichopoda. RNAcentral's name for it is "long non-coding RNA (ATRI_LNC002882)". Lineage: Eukaryota; Viridiplantae; Streptophyta; Magnoliopsida; Amborellales; Amborellaceae. The record is from RNAcentral.
CUGGUAAAAGUGUGAAUAUAAAUUCUUACCAUUAAAUGUACCGCUCUAUGCUCCAUGCUCCACUUGAAAAUUACCAAUAUAUCCCUGACGAAAUGAAUGUAAGAAAGGGACACGAGAGAGUGCAAGUGACCACAUUGACGAGAUGAUGUGUAGGCAUGACAUCAUGUGGUGUCAUCAUGAUAUCCCUCACAUUAUGUCAUGCACAUGCUAUUUGAAAAGA